This 268-nucleotide ribosomal RNA is filed under the name uncultured bacterium. RNAcentral's name for it is "partial 16S ribosomal RNA". It matches the Rfam family "Bacterial small subunit ribosomal RNA", at positions 793 to 1055 of the family's 1533-position model. The record is from RNAcentral.
GUCCUAGCCCUAAACGAUGCUCAUUAGGUGUGGGAGGUAUCGACCCCUUCCGCGCCGAAGCUAACGCAUUAAAUGAGCCGCCUGGGGAGUACGGCCGCAAGGUUGAAACUCAAAGGAAUUGACGGGGGCCCCGCACAAGCGGUGGAGCAUGUGGUUUAAUUCGACGCAACGCGAAGAACCUUACCCGGGCUUGAACUACUGGUAGUAAGUCUUUGGAAACAUUGACUGAUCCGCAAGGAAGCCAGCAGAGGUGCUGCAUGGUUGUCGU